Molecule: ribosomal RNA, 94 nt
Filed under: uncultured bacterium
Lineage: Bacteria
Description: partial 16S ribosomal RNA
Source: RNAcentral
UUAAAGCACUUUUAGUUGGGGGAAGAAAGAUCAUUGAAUGAAUAAGUCAGUGAAGUGACGUUACCCAAAGAAUAAGCACCGGCUAACUCUGUGC